GAUGAACGCUGGCGGCGUGCCUAAUACAUGCAAGUCGAGCGAACGGACGAGAAGCUUGCUUCUCUGAUGUUAGCGGCGGACGGGUGAGUAACACGUGGAUAACCUACCUAUAAGACUGGGAUAACUUCGGGAAACCGGAGCUAAUACCGGAUAAUAUUUUGAACCGCAUGGUUCAAAAGUGAAAGACGGUCUUGCUGUCACUUAUAGAUGGAUCCGCGCUGCAUUAGCUAGUUGGUAAGGUAACGGCUUACCAAGGCAACGAUGCAUAGCCGACCUGAGAGGGUGAUCGGCCACACUGGAACUGAGACACGGUCCAGACUCCUACGGGAGGCAGCAGUAGGGAAUCUUCCGCAAUGGGCGAAAGCCUGACGGAGCAACGCCGCGUGAGUGAUGAAGGUCUUCGGAUCGUAAAACUCUGUUAUUAGGGAAGAACAUAUGUGUAAGUAACUGUGCACAUCUUGACGGUACCUAAUCAGAAAGCCACGGCUAACUACGUGCCAGCAGCCGCGGUAAUACGUAGGUGGCAAGCGUUAUCCGGAAUUAUUGGGCGUAAAGCGCGCGUAGGCGGUUUUUUAAGUCUGAUGUGAAAGCCCACGGCUCAACCGUGGAGGGUCAUUGGAAACUGGAAAACUUGAGUGCAGAAGAGGAAAGUGGAAUUCCAUGUGUAGCGGUGAAAUGCGCAGAGAUAUGGAGGAACACCAGUGGCGAAGGCGACUUUCUGGUCUGUAACUGACGCUGAUGUGCGAAAGCGUGGGGAUCAAACAGGAUUAGAUACCCUGGUAGUCCACGCCGUAAACGAUGAGUGCUAAGUGUUAGGGGGUUUCCGCCCCUUAGUGCUGCAGCUAACGCAUUAAGCACUCCGCCUGGGGAGUACGACCGCAAGGUUGAAACUCAAAGGAAUUGACGGGGACCCGCACAAGCGGUGGAGCAUGUGGUUUAAUUCGAAGCAACGCGAAGAACCUUACCAAAUCUUGACAUCCUUUGACAACUCUAGAGAUAGAGCCUUCCCCUUCGGGGGACAAAGUGACAGGUGGUGCAUGGUUGUCGUCCGCUCGUGUCGUGAGAUGUUGGGUUAAGUCCCGCAACGAGCGCAACCCUUAAGCUUAGUUGCCAUCAUUAAGUUGGGCACUCUAAGUUGACUGCCGGUGACAAACCGGAGGAAGGUGGGGAUGACGUCAAAUCAUCAUGCCCCUUAUGAUUUGGGCUACACACGUGCUACAAUGGACAAUACAAAGGGCAGCGAAACCGCGAGGUCAAGCAAAUCCCAUAAAGUUGUUCUCAGUUCGGAUUGUAGUCUGCAACUCGACUACAUGAAGCUGGAAUCGCUAGUAAUCGUAGAUCAGCAUGCUACGGUGAAUACGUUCCCGGGUCU
RNAcentral lists this ribosomal RNA (1372 nucleotides) under uncultured bacterium. RNAcentral describes it as "bacterial SSU rRNA". It matches the Rfam family "Bacterial small subunit ribosomal RNA", at positions 28 to 1381 of the family's 1533-position model. The record is from RNAcentral.